Molecule: unclassified non-coding RNA, 348 nt
Filed under: plant metagenome
Description: partial contains 5.8S ribosomal RNA, internal transcribed spacer 2, and large subunit ribosomal RNA
Rfam family: 5.8S ribosomal RNA (bases 1-105)
Source: RNAcentral
GAAAUGCGAUAAGUAAUGUGAAUUGCAGAAUUCAGUGAAUCAUCGAAUCUUUGAACGCACCUUGCGCUCCUUGGUAUUCCGAGGAGCAUGCCUGUUUGAGUGUCAUUAAAUUCUCAGCUAUACAAGUUUUUUCUAGAACAUGUGUAGCUUGGAUCUUGGGAUUUGCGGGCUUUCACAAGUCGGCUAUCCUUAAAUGCAUUGGCAGAGCUUUUGCCGCUAAACUCUAGUGUGAUAAUUAUCUACGCUAUUGUAAGGCGACAUGAAUAGAGCUAUGCUUCUAAUCGUCUUCACAGACAACAUUUGACAAUCUGACCUCAAAUCAGGUAGGAUUACCCGCUGAACUUAAGC